UUAUUCGCAGAGUACCGUCAGUGCCGGUAAACCGACAUGUUCUUCCUCUACAAAAGGACUUUACAUUCCGAAGAACUUCAUCAUCCACGAGGCGUUGCUGCGUCAGGCUUUCGCCCAUUGCGCACU
Molecule: ribosomal RNA, 126 nt
Filed under: uncultured marine bacterium
Lineage: Bacteria
Description: partial 16S ribosomal RNA
Source: RNAcentral